AUGACCCUCCAUGCUGGUUGAAUUCAAUUUAUGAGAUCCUGACAACAUUAUUGUUCUCUCUUGCAGGAGUUCACACCACAUUCCAGACACCUGAGGGUCCUGAAUGUCGAAACAGCAGGACUUACAAGAGUUUGAGAGUUAUUUCAUUUACCGGAAAAUGCAGUGUUCCAUCUGAAACAUAAAUUAUAAAUUAUAUUGAAUCUACUAACACAGAAUGUUCUGUUCUCAAUGAGUUUACACAAAACAGGUGAAGAAGCAAAGACCAGCAGUCUAAGAUCCAGGCACAAACUUGGUGGCGUAGACCCAUGCGUUAUUAGCAACUGGGUUGUCAAGGUGGUCCAAGAGGUUCUCAAGGGGGCCUUUUCCGGUCACAAUAGCUUGGACAAAGAAGCCAAACAUGGAGAACAUGGCUAGCCGUCCAUUCUUGAUUUCCUUGACCUUGAGCUCAGCAAAUGUGACCGGGUCAUCAGCGAGGCCAAGAGGAUCGAAGUAUUGUCCACCAGGGUACAGGUUGUUGCCAUCUCCAACUCCAGGAAGGCCAUUAAUGCGGAAGCCCUCAACAAGACCCAUGAGGACAACUUGGAAGCCGAGGACUGCCAGAAUGCUCUGGGCAUGAACAAG
Molecule: long non-coding RNA, 621 nt
Filed under: Vitis vinifera (wine grape)
Lineage: Eukaryota; Viridiplantae; Streptophyta; Magnoliopsida; Vitales; Vitaceae
Description: long non-coding RNA (VVIN_LNC006424)
Source: RNAcentral